UAUUCUCUUAUUUCAAAAAAUAAUAUGUAAAAAAUUUGAUUUGAUAUUAUUUUGAAAAUAAGUGGGGUUAUAUGGUUACGAUAAAAUUAUGAUAAAAACUCUUUAGUUAGAUUAUGAUUUGGAUUUAGCCAACAGGACUGAUCGUUGGCUAUAUGUCAGAAAUAUAUUUCUUCCGAGCCUACAAAGUUGGGGUUGAUUGCUAACGGAGCUAAUUCUUUCAGACCUCAUCAGUUGGGGC
Molecule: long non-coding RNA, 238 nt
Filed under: Elaeis guineensis (African oil palm)
Lineage: Eukaryota; Viridiplantae; Streptophyta; Magnoliopsida; Arecales; Arecaceae
Description: long non-coding RNA (EGUI_LNC032603)
Source: RNAcentral